This 443-nucleotide ribosomal RNA is filed under the name uncultured bacterium. Its description in RNAcentral is "partial 16S ribosomal RNA". It matches the Rfam family "Bacterial small subunit ribosomal RNA", at positions 338 to 795 of the family's 1533-position model. The record is from RNAcentral.
CCUACGGGUGGCAGCAGUGGGGAAUAUUGGGCAAUGGGCGCAAGCCUGACCCAGCAACGCCGCGUGAAGGAAGAAGGCUUUCGGGUUGUAAACUUCUUUUCUGAGGGACGAAGAAAGUGACGGUACCUCAGGAAUAAGCCACGGCUAACUACGUGCCAGCAGCCGCGGUAAUACGUAGGUGGCAAGCGUUAUCCGGAUUUAUUGGGUGUAAAGGGCGUGUAGGCGGGAAAGCAAGUCAGAUGUGAAAACUCAGGGCUCAACCCUGAGCCUGCAUUUGAAACUGUUGAACUGGAGUACAGGAGAGGUGAGCGGAAUUCCUAGUGUAGCGGUGAAAUGCGUAGAUAUUAGGAGGAACACCAGUGGCGAAGGCGACUUUCUGGACUGUACCUGACGCUGAGGCGCGAAAGCGUGGGUAGCGAACGGGAUUAGAUACCCGAGUAGUC